UACGUAGGGUGCAAGCGUUGUCCGGAAUUAUUGGGCGUAAAGAGCUCGUAGGCGGUCUGUUGCGUCGGCUGUGAAAACCCGGGGCUCAACUCCGGGCCUGCAGCCGAUACGGGCAGACUAGAGUUCGGCAGGGGAGACUGGAAUUCCUGGUGUAGCGGUGAAAUGCGCAGAUAUCAGGAGGAACACCAGCGGCGAAGGCGGCGCUCUGGGCCGGAACUGACGCUGAGGAGCGAAAGCGUGGGUAGCAAACAGG
RNAcentral lists this ribosomal RNA (253 nucleotides) under uncultured bacterium. RNAcentral describes it as "partial 16S ribosomal RNA". It matches the Rfam family "Bacterial small subunit ribosomal RNA", at positions 524 to 776 of the family's 1533-position model. The record is from RNAcentral.